Ctenocephalides felis (cat flea) is the source of this 510-nucleotide long non-coding RNA. RefSeq lists it as uncharacterized. The transcript is spliced from 3 exons. NCBI's taxonomy places the organism in Eukaryota, Metazoa, Arthropoda, Insecta, Siphonaptera, Pulicidae. The record is from RefSeq and is a predicted model, not a curated record.
UGUUUAGUCACUGGGGUAAGCUUAUUAUUAUUUUAACGUUUGGCUCAUCAUUUUAAUGUAGUUUACAAUUUUAUAUCUGCUUAUAUCACAUGGUACAAGCACGUAUGUCGUUGAAUAUGCGAUUCUAAAUAUGUAUAUUUGGUAAUAUUUGAAAACAAAAUGUUGAUAUAACAUCCAGGGCUUUGGUAAUGACUAAGAAGACAUACUCGAUAUAACAUUCAGAGCACCCGUAGUGAUAUAAUGUUAUUUCAAAAGGCAGCUACAUAAUUGUCUCUUUCUGGAAAAUCAUCAUGUGGAUUUUUAAGCUAAGUCUCGAGCGUUGAUGUCAUCAGUUGAUCAAAUGUGUUAAAUACUACUAAAGGAAGAUUUAUGUCAAUAUUAUAAUCAAAUGAAGAAACUAUUGAUGGAAUGCGAGUACUUACUAGUUGAAAAUAAUAUUUGCAUAUGUGGAACGAGUCUCAAAUACAAUUGAGCAUGAACACGAAGGAAUAGUUAUCAUACAAGGAGCAG